Triticum aestivum (bread wheat) is the source of this 995-nucleotide long non-coding RNA. RefSeq lists it as uncharacterized. Lineage: Eukaryota; Viridiplantae; Streptophyta; Magnoliopsida; Poales; Poaceae. The record is from RefSeq and is a predicted model, not a curated record. The transcript is spliced from 2 exons.
CCAUCCCUCCAUCCUCCACGUCGAUGCUCCGCCGGGAAAUCACAUCCAGACUGAAAAUCGAGAAGAUGUAGUUUUGUCAUGCCACUAGCGCCGUCGUCAUCAGCGUCCUGUCCCCCAAUUCUUUCCACGACGCUGCUCCACCGGGAGCGUCACCACCAGCCUCCGAUUUGAGAAGCUGCAGUUUUGGUCAUAGCAGCAGCGCCAUGGUCCAUGCGAACGGAUUCAGCCGCCAUCGUUCUCUCCUCGAGCGCACAACCUUGGGUUCGCCCUCACCAGGCAUCCCUUACCUUUGCCAUACAACAUCAGGAACAACCAUGGACGGACAAACUAUAUGUAUCUCAAACUGAAAGAAAAUAUUGAUUUUUCCUUGGAUUAAUCGCCUCACGCCGUUCAGCUAGAUCAACCUGGGUCAUGAUUGUUCCUGGGCAAGAGAGUUUAGAUCACUGCUUUUACUUUCCUGGCUUUCAUAUAACAAUACCUUGCAGCGAAGGAGCAGGAGGUGAUGUGGCAUAGUUGAUCCUUUAGAGAUUCAUACUUGCGUUCUAGAAUUUGUUUCGAACUUGCAAUUAAGAAGUGUUGUACUGGUGAUCAUAAUUUCCUGGCCAGGUACGAAUUUAAUACAGUUUUGUUGUAGUUUCUGAAUCAAGAUAAAAUCUUUCUUUAAUACAAUGAGAAUUGGAUGCAGGGCAUAUCAUACUGGUGUUAGAGCAAUGGGAUUGUGUAAGCUUAAUAAACGUUGUGCAUAUUUUUUCUUUUUUUCUUCAUGUAAAUGCUUGUAUCGUUACUAUUGUUACUGCUUGAACGUCAUAUCAAAAUUACAACCAGAAUUGUUAAGAACUGGGAUCAAUUCUUUUGGCUAUUUUUUCUACAGGAGCGAAAAAAUACUAUUUGGAAGCAGUUUCCUGAUGAACAUUAAUCAUUGAGAACUUUCCUACAGAAGUACAACAUCCAUCCAAGCUACGUACGAGCUAUUUCUAUAGUUGUUCGAUGAAGUA